RNAcentral lists this long non-coding RNA (245 nucleotides) under Hordeum vulgare. Its description in RNAcentral is "long non-coding RNA (HVUL_LNC011720)". Lineage: Eukaryota; Viridiplantae; Streptophyta; Magnoliopsida; Poales; Poaceae. The record is from RNAcentral.
GGAGAGUCUACUUGUAGGAUGACAAGUUGUCGCAUCUCGAGCAUGUCUCAUAGGAGAGUGGAAUGAAGUCCAUUGUAGUGAGAGUAGCAGAUGUGCCAUUGUUCUGUUGUGUAAUUCUGUUUGUUUUUGCUAUAUUCAUGUGUAAGGAAAUGUAUUUAGGAGAUGACUUAUUGUGUUAUGUAAACCUGGAAGAUGUAUUAUGUAAUGUUAUAUGAUGGAUGAUUUUAAUUCGACUUGGAGUUUUC